AUGAGCAAUCUCAUCAUCUCUAAAGGAAUCCUCCACAGAUUUCAAUGGCUUCCCAAGGGAACAGGAAUAUAUGACACAGCUUCAGGAGCAUUGUGGAUCCCAAGUGGAAAUCUAGUCCCCAUUCCUUCCUCACUUCCAUGCUGUGACCGUCCUCAGUGUCCUGAAGCAAGUCCUCAUCCAGAUUCCCUUCAGGAAGCUUGUCUUGGCUGAAUUUUUGCAGCUUAGCAGUUACUUUUGAACUCAACAAUUUUAAGCUUGAUUACAGGACUGAAGCCAUGUUAAAGGGAAAGAAGUACUGCCAGACCCUGUGAACCCAUUUUAUUACUUGAAGUAAGAAGAAAAGCAUCUGCUGUUUCCUUGGCUUUGAUUGAGUGUUCCCAGGCCUGAGAGGAAGCUGUUUGCAGCCAUGGGGGAACUGCCUGCUUCCUGCUCUUGGAUCAAGGUAGCUUCAGCUCUUGGGCCUCACCCAAUCCUUCUGGGUGCAUGGGCUUACGGCCUUCUUCCAGGGCAACUUGUUCUAGUUCUUUCCCUCGUGUCAAAUGCAAGUCUUUAUCAUCACAUCUGCUCCAAAAUGCUGACAAGAGGAACAAAUUAGCCCAGAAGGAAAUCAUGAUUCCUCCAUGUGGUACCCUCAAGUCCAGGAGAGGAUAAUGUUUUGCCACAUGAGGCAAGGACUGAGCAAGAUGAACACUGAUUACAAGCAGCAGAGCUGAGGGAAGUGUCCUGCUCAGAUACAUUACUUCCCAUGUCCUGUUCCCUUUCUUCACUUCAGGAAUACGUAUAUUGGGUUGGCAAACUAUGGUUCUCCAAAGAAAAUCAGAAAGCAAAGCCACAGUGCUCCUAGUUUUGUAAAACUGAUAAUGGUAACUGUGGUCAACCCUCUUCAGGAGAUGAAAUACACUUUAUUAUUUCAUUAUGAGCUUAUUAAGCUGUUUCAGCAAUUAUCAGCAGUAAUAAAAACACAUAUCUCCUGAGUGUUCUACAUAGGUCUUCUGUUGAAGUUUUCUCUAAAAUUACCAAUACCGGAAAUUUAUUUUCAUUCACCUUUCUGAAAUGGAACCACUAUAGAUACACUGGAAGGAGAUUCAGUCUUGACCCUUUGAGAGUGUUAAGAAUUUGUGAUUUAUUAUUUUAGUUCCUAAAGCGAUAGUGUGAAAGUAGAUACUUUUGUUUUCACCUGUUUUGCUUUUAUAACCAAGAAUGAAUUCAGGAAAAAUAUUGAUGUAGGCUGGGAGGAGAGAAGACUUAAAGUACAGCUUGCAAGAAAGAAAAAAAAAAAAAAGACGAGAAUUUGAGAACAUGUGGACUGCCUGUGCCUAAAGAAGCAUUAUUUCUGUGAGCACUACAUGAAUAAAGCUGUUUUCCCUGCAGAUUUGUGUCUGGUAGCUGACUGCUAACUUAAUCUGAAGUUGUUUUCCUGCAGUUGUUUCUCUGAGAUGUCUCAGCUGUGUGGUUUCUCUGGCUUCUAUUAGUGUAUGAGUAAAGACUCUACUGUUCCCAAACAUUGAAUACUGCUGCCUAUAGCCUCUCUCUUCUUCCUCCAUGCUUCUUUUCACAAAAUGCAUGGGAAUGUGGUCAUAUUUGAGAUAUCCAUCAAAUUUGGCUUGAUUUUGGUCGAAGGGCUCAAAAAAUUACUGUGAAGGGACACAGACAGACAUGAACAUGUAUUAAAUGAUUACAUAAACUCAGCUUCCCCAGGAAACAGGGAUUGAAAGCUGCUCUGUAUAAAGAGAAAUAUUUACCAACCAAAUACCAAAGGAAACUUUAAAUAAAAUUUUGCCAGAGUUAGAAUGUAGAAUUUGGAACUUGAUACUUGAAUAUUUCAUGUUGAAAAUGGGCUCAAUUUCUUGGGGAUCUAAUCUUAUUUUCUAAAUGUCCCAUUAGGUUACUUUAUUAUUUUCAUUACAGUGAAAAAAAAAAAAAAAAUUGCUAAUAAAGACAGACAAAUUUUAAGAAACAACAUAUGGGCUAGUAUGGUAGAGCUACUUUCCAAGAGAAAAAGUAACCCCAUCUGAGAUAGGAGAUUGUUAUUCUUUAUAACCUUCAUUCAUUUAAUGCAGUUUCAUUUGUUUGUUUUUUCUUUUUUCUUUUUUUUUGUUUGUUUGUUUUUCUUUUUCCAACCAAAGAUAUGUACAGUCUACACCAAACUUGGAAAUAUGGUGGUGCAUUUGCAGUGUUGAGAAGCCUCAGCGUGUGUGACUGAAAAGGCUAAAUCUAAUUCCAAUCUUAUCCAGAUCUGACGAGGAGCAAAGACAGUGGCUACAGUGGAUUUCCAGCAGACUUUAAGAGCUCUCACUCCUCAUGUGGCCAACUCCAUCCCAGAGGCUGGAGAAUAUUACUGUAGUAGUAGAAGGAAAAAAGCCCAGAUGAAUGAAUAGUUGUGUAAUUUUGUGGUCACCAAUCUAGAGAAUAGAAAUUCCAGAAUGUGCACGUUAUCCACAAUGAGUGAAGUCAUUUUUUGGAGCAAGCUAUAGAAUUACUUUUCAAGGAGACCAUGAUGUGAAGCAGACCAAACUACAGAGGGAGCAGACUGUGCCACUUCAGGAAUAUGUGUUGUACCUGCUUGGAUUUUUCAUCCUUUCAUUCUUUCAUAGUUUAUUAGUCAAUAUAUUUU
RNAcentral lists this long non-coding RNA (2614 nucleotides) under Meleagris gallopavo (turkey). RNAcentral's name for it is "lncRNA (ENSMGAG00000020316.1)". The record is from RNAcentral. Lineage: Eukaryota; Metazoa; Chordata; Aves; Galliformes; Phasianidae.